CUGAAUAGGGCGCAUAAGUAACAGGUCGUAGACCCGAAACCAGGUGAUCUACCCAUGUCCAGGAUGAAGGUAAGGUAAUACUUACUGGAGGUCCGAACCCACGCACGUUGAAAAGUGCGGGGAUGAGGUGUGGGUAGCGGAGAAAUUCCAAUCGAACUUGGAGAUAGCUGGUUCUCUCCGAAAUAGCUUUAGGGCUAGCCUCGAGGUAAAGAGUCAUGGAGGUAGAGCACUGUUUGGACUAGGGGCCCUUCUCGGGUUACCGAAUUCAGAUAAACUCCGAAUGCCAUGUACUUAUACUCGGGAGUCAGACUGCGAGUGAUAAGAUCCGUAGUCGAAAGGGAAACAGCCCAGACCACCAGUUAAGGUCCCCAAAUAUAUGUUAAGUGGAAAAGGAUGUGGGGUUGCUUAGACAACCAGGAUGUUGGCUUAGAAGCAGCCACCAUUGAAAGAGUGCGUAAUAGCUCACUGGUCGAGUGACCCCGCGCCGAAAAUGUACCGGGGCUAAACAUAUUACCGAAACUGUGGAUGAACCUCUUUAGAGGUUCGUGGUAGGAGAGCGUUCUAAGGGCGGUGAAGUCAGACCGGAAGGACUGGUGGAGCGCUUAGAAGUGAGAAUGCCGGUAUGAGUAGCGAAAGAAGGGUGAGAAUCCCUUCCACCGAAUAUCUAAGGUUUCCUGAGGAAGGCUCGUCCGCUCAGGGUUAGUCGGGACCUAAGCCGAGGCCGAUAGGCGUAGGCGAUGGACAACAGGUAGAGAUUCCUGUACCAGUGCUAAUUGUUUAACCGAUGGGGUGACACAGAAGGAUAGGGAAUCGCACGAAUGGAAAUGUGCGUCCAAGCAGUGAGUGUGAGAAGUAGGCAAAUCCGCUUCUCGCGAAGCAUGAGCUGUGAUGGGGAAGGAAAUUAAGUACGGAAGUUCCUGAUUUCACGCUGUCAAGAAAAGCCUCUAGGAAGAGUAGUACUGCCCGUACCGCAAACCGACACAGGUAGAUGAGGAGAGAAUCCUAAGGUGAGCGAGAGAACUCUCGUUAAGGAACUCGGCAAAAUGACCCCGUAACUUCGGGAGAAGGGGUGCUCUAUUAGGGUGCAAGCCCGAGAGAGCCGCAGUGAAUAGGCCCAGGCGACUGUUUAGCAAAAACACAGGUCUCUGCAAAACCGUAAGGUGACGUAUAGGGGCUGACGCCUGCCCGGUGCUGGAAGGUUAAGAGGAGUGCUUAGCUUCGGCGAAGGUACGAAUUGAAGCCCCAGUAAACGGCGGCCGUAACUAUAACGGUCCUAAGGUAGCGAAAUUCCUUGUCGGGUAAGUUCCGACCCGCACGAAAGGCGCAACGAUCUGGGCACUGUCUCAACGAGAGACUCGGUGAAAUUAUAGUACCUGUGAAGAUGCAGGUUACCCGCGACAGGACGGAAAGACCCCGUGGAGCUUUACUGCAACCUGAUAUGGAAUGUUUGUACCGCUUGUACAGGAUAGGUAGGAGCCGAAGAGACGUGUGCGCUAGCAUACGAGGAGGCAAUGGUGGGAUACUACCCUGGCUGUAUGACCAUUCUAACCCGCCACGCUUAGCGCGUGGGGAGACAGUGUCAGGUGGGCAGUUUGACUGGGGCGGUCGCCUCCUAAAGAGUAACGGAGGCGCCCAAAGGUUCCCUCAGAAUGGAUGGAAAUCAUUCGCAGAGUGUAAAGGCACAAGGGAGCUUGACUGCGAGACUGACAAGUCGAGCAGGGACGAAAGUCGGGCUUAGUGAUCCGGUGGUUCCGCAUGGAAGGGCCAUCGCUCAACGGAUAAAAGCUACCCCGGGGAUAACAGGCUUAUCUCCCCCAAGAGUCCACAUCGACGGGGAGGUUUGGCACCUCGAUGUCGGCUCGUCGCAUCCUGGGGCUGUAGUCGGUCCCAAGGGUUGGGCUGUUCGCCCAUUAAAGCGGCACGCGAGCUGGGUUCAGAACGUCGUGAGACAGUUCGGUCCCUAUCCGUCGCGGGCGCAGGAAAUUUGAGAGGAGCUGUCCUUAGUACGAGAGGACCGGGAUGGACACACCGCUGGUGUACCAGUUGUUCCGCCAGGAGCAUCGCUGGGUAGCUAUGUGUGGCAGGGAUAAACGCUGAAAGCAUCUAAGCGUGAAGCCCCCCUCAAGAUGAGAUUUCCCAUUUCUUCGGAAAGUAAGAUCCCUGAAAGAUGAUCAGGUAGAUAGGUUUGG
This 2189-nucleotide ribosomal RNA is filed under the name Listeria monocytogenes. Its description in RNAcentral is "partial 23S ribosomal RNA". It matches the Rfam family "Bacterial large subunit ribosomal RNA", at positions 683 to 2865 of the family's 2925-position model. Lineage: Bacteria; Bacillati; Bacillota; Bacilli; Caryophanales; Listeriaceae. The record is from RNAcentral.